AAAUUGAAGAGUUUGAUCAUGGCUCAGAUUGAACGCUGGCGGCAGGCCUAACACAUGCAAGUCGAGCGGUAGCACAGAGAGCUUGCUCUCGGGUGACAAGCGGCGGACGGGUGAGUAAUGUCU
Molecule: ribosomal RNA, 123 nt
Filed under: Klebsiella pneumoniae subsp. pneumoniae
Lineage: Bacteria; Pseudomonadati; Pseudomonadota; Gammaproteobacteria; Enterobacterales; Enterobacteriaceae
Description: partial 16S ribosomal RNA
Rfam family: Bacterial small subunit ribosomal RNA
Source: RNAcentral